CUUUUCGAGGUAGGAGUCGACUCCUGUGAGGUAUGGUGCUGGGUGCAGAUGCAGUGUGGCUCUGGAUAGCACCUUAUGGACAGUUGUGUCCCCAAGGAAGGAUGAGAAUAGCUACUGAAGUCCUAAAGAGCAAGCCUAACUCAAGCCAUUGGCACACAGGCAUUAGACAGAAAGCUGGAAGUUGAAAUGGUAAGUGAAACUGUAUCCAAGUAAGCAGGUAACUGGGCAAACUUCCUACGGCACAAAUGGCUUUUUAGUUACCUCCUAGUGCUGAAUGCAUUAAAUAAAUGGCGGAUUCUUGUCUUGUUAUGAUUAAUAAGAAAGUUUGUAAAUGCAGCCUGGAUGAUGAUAAGCAAAUGCUGACUGAACAUGAAGGUCUUAAUUAGCUCUAACUGACUAAAGGCAUUUGUUAGUUUUGGCAGGGGGUGAACACUCAUCUGUGGCUAUUCUAAGACCACUCUUAUUUCUUAGGUGGAGUCCAACUUGCCUGGACCAGCUUAAUGGUUCUGCUCCUGGUAACGUUUUUAUCCAUGGAUGACUUGCUUGGGUAAGGACAUGAAGACAGUUCCUGUCAUACCUUUUAAAGGUACAUGUUUUAUUGAUGUUAACGUUAAUUGAUUGAGCUACUGUUAGUGAUGAUUUUAAAAUUAAAGCAGAUGGGAAUCUCUCUGAGAAAGAAAAUGGAGAUUAAUCUUAAACUGAAACAGUAGUUGGGAAAUCUUUUAGAAAUCCACCUAUUACUACCUAUUGGUAAAGGAGAUUAAAUUUCUACAGGUAUGGAGAGUCGGCUUGACUACACUGUGUGGAGCAAGUUUUAAAGAAGCAAAGGACUCAGAAUUCAUGAUUGAAGAAAUGCAGGCAGACCUGUUAUCCUAAACUAGGGUUUUUAAUGACCACAACAAGCAAGCAUGCAGCUUACUGCUUGAAAGGGUCUUGCCUCACCCAAGCUAGAGUGCAGUGGCCUUUGAAGCUUACUACAGCCUCAAACUUCUGGGCUCAAGUGAUCCUCAGCCUCCCAGUGGUCUUUGUAGACUGCCUGAUGGAGUCUCAUGGCACAAGAAGAUUAAAACAGUGUCUCCAAUUUUAAUAAAUUUUUGCAAUCCA
RNAcentral lists this long non-coding RNA (1104 nucleotides) under Homo sapiens (human). RNAcentral describes it as "growth arrest specific 5". The stretch from base 625 to 709 matches the Rfam family "Small nucleolar RNA SNORD79". The record is from RNAcentral. Lineage: Eukaryota; Metazoa; Chordata; Mammalia; Primates; Hominidae.